AUCAUCUUCACUGAGCUCAUCCAUCCCUAGAAUCGCAAUGAUAUCCUGAAGAUUCUUAUAAUUCUGAAGAACCUCCUGAACACCACGUGCAGUGUUGUAGUGCUCUUGCCCUAAUACAUGAGGAGAAAGCAUUCUAGAUGUUGAAUCAAGAGGAUCAACAGCAGGAUAGAUACCAAGCUCAGAGAUCUGCCGUGACAGCACAGUCGUAGCAUCAAGAUGGGCAAAGGUUGUGGCGGGAGCAGGAUCUGUCAAGUCA
This 256-nucleotide unclassified non-coding RNA is filed under the name Hevea brasiliensis (rubber tree). Lineage: Eukaryota; Viridiplantae; Streptophyta; Magnoliopsida; Malpighiales; Euphorbiaceae. The record is from RNAcentral.